GCAGUGGUGGUUCAGUGGUAGAAUUCUCGCCUUCCAUGCAGGUGACCUGGGUUCAAUUCCUGGCCAGUGCA
Molecule: transfer RNA, 71 nt
Organism: Loxodonta africana (African savanna elephant)
Lineage: Eukaryota; Metazoa; Chordata; Mammalia; Proboscidea; Elephantidae
Rfam family: tRNA
About the family: Transfer RNA (tRNA) molecules are approximately 80 nucleotides in length.
Source: Rfam